GUGUCAGCCGCCGCGGUAAUACGUAGGGGGCGAGCGUUGUCCGAAGUUACUGGGCGUAAAGCGCGCGUAGGCGGGGGGUUAAGUGAGAGGUGAAAGGCUGGGGCUCAACCUCAGUAGUGCCUCUCAUACUGGCCUUCUUGAGGGCGGUAGGGAGAAGUGGAAUGGCUGGUGUAGCGGUGAAAUGCGUAGAUAUCAGUCGGAACACCGGUGGCGAAGGCGGCUUCUUGGGCCGUUCCUGACGCUGAUGCGCGAAAGCUGGGGGAGCGAACGGGAUUAGAUACCCCCGUAGUCC
Molecule: ribosomal RNA, 292 nt
Filed under: uncultured bacterium
Lineage: Bacteria
Description: partial 16S ribosomal RNA
Rfam family: Bacterial small subunit ribosomal RNA
Source: RNAcentral